This 484-nucleotide ribosomal RNA is filed under the name uncultured bacterium. RNAcentral's name for it is "partial 16S ribosomal RNA". It matches the Rfam family "Bacterial small subunit ribosomal RNA", at positions 30 to 507 of the family's 1533-position model. The record is from RNAcentral.
AUUGAACGCUGGCGGCAGGCCUAACACAUGCAAGUCGAGCGGAUGAAGGGAGCUUGCUCCUGGAUUCAGCGGCGGACGGGUGAGUAAUGCCUAGGAAUCUGCCUGGUAGUGGGGGAUAACGUCCGGAAACGGGCGCUAAUACCGCAUACGUCCUGAGGGAGAAAGUGGGGGAUCUUCGGACCUCACGCUAUCAGAUGAGCCUAGGUCGGAUUAGCUAGUUGGUGGGGUAAAGGCCUACCAAGGCGACGAUCCGUAACUGGUCUGAGAGGAUGAUCAGUCACACUGGAACUGAGACACGGUCCAGACUCCUACGGGAGGCAGCAGUGGGGAAUAUUGGACAAUGGGCGAAAGCCUGAUCCAGCCAUGCCGCGUGUGUGAAGAAGGUCUUCGGAUUGUAAAGCACUUUUAUUGGGGAAGAAGGGCAGUAAGUUAAUACCUUGCUGUUUUGACGUUACCAACAGAAUAAGCACCGGCUAACUUCGUG